RNAcentral lists this unclassified non-coding RNA (577 nucleotides) under Hevea brasiliensis (rubber tree). Lineage: Eukaryota; Viridiplantae; Streptophyta; Magnoliopsida; Malpighiales; Euphorbiaceae. The record is from RNAcentral.
GAUCUUUUCACUUCAUAGACCAGAUAUUUUGCCUGUUAGUGACUUGGGGGUCAGGAAAGGUGUGCAAUUGCUGUAUGGACUGGAGGAACUGCCAAGGCCGUCGCAGAUGGAGCAAUUAUGUGACAAAUGGAAGCCAUAUAGAUCUGCAGGGGCAUGGUAUAUGUGGCGGUUAGUGGAAGGGAAAGGGACUCCAACUAUUGCAGCAGCACCAAUUGAUGGUGGUAAUGCGCAGGCAUUGCAGCAAUUUCCGGUGGAACAGGAGACACAGCAACAUCAACUGCAGCUUCUCGAGCCAAUUAAUGGCAUCGAAAAUCUUGGGGCUUGCAUUUGGAGCCAAUGAUUACAGUGUUGAGAUAUUCCGGAGGGGUUCCCUGUGCACCAAUAUUCUCUAGCAUGUGUUAGUAGUGAGCUUAUUUUGCAGAGAUCAUGACGUUGUAAUAGCAAGCAAUUGUGCUUCUUGGGUUAUAUGGCAAGAACCCCAUUUGUUUGAUUGAUGUCAAGAACUGCACUUUUUAGUCCCCGUCGCCCCUCAAUAUUCAUUGAUGCCCCCUUUAAAUGUAAAAAGUUGUGGAAUUAG